GACCACACACACUUUGGAGGCAGGAUCAAGUUAGCUAACAACUUGUAGCCAGCUGGAGUUAGCUAACGGCAGCUCGUUUUAUUUGUAUUUUGUUUAACCUUUAUUUAACUAGGCAAGUCAGUUAAGAAUAAAUGUGUAUUUACAAUGACGGCCUACCCCGGCCAAACACGGACGACUCUGGGCCAAUUGUGCGCCGCCCAUGGGACACCCAAUCACGGACGGAUGUGAUACAGCCUAGGUAACGUCAUAACUCUGUUAGGGUGGGUAUAAUUUGGAACGUUCCAACAGGAAAUCUGUUCUAAAAAAGUAAAGUACAAAGUUGCCAACAAUCAACGCAUACAAAGUAGCACGAUCAACUCACCACGUAGCUUAUUCUCAAUGUUUGUCUAUGGGCUACCAGAGUGAGGACAGACAUUUUCGGAAUAAACGUGAUCUUUCCUGGAGUUGAAACUGCUCUGAGGAAGAGGUCCACAAGUGGUUGAAAGACUUCCAGAGAACAUCAGAUUUGACUUGGAGAAAAAGGGUACUUCUGGCUGAAGUGGACAACAACACAUGUUGUGGUGCAAUAAUGUACUUCAUCCCGAAGAGGUUGAUUCAUUCGCAACGAAGAGAAUCAAGAUCUCCAUAUGAAAGGAGGUUGCCUCUUUCAUGGGCGUUUACGGAAUGGCGACAACCACAGUCUGACAAGUGCUGAGGUGCUGAAGAGGAGAAAUGUGUCAGCGGACACCAUUGAGAAAUUGACAAAGCUGUUUGAAAUAGUCCACUCUCUUUCAUCAGCUCUAAACAUGAUCAAAUAGGAGUUGCAAGUGGAGUAUGGAGACAACCAUGUGCAUGCCUCUGUGGACUCCUCCAUUUGCCCCAGCUUCAAUUCUGCUACAAGUCAGUUGCUUGACACACUUGAUCUGCUGAUUCAUACAGUGUAUUUAAAUGUUAUCACCAGAAAUCAUUUGCUUUAGGUGUGUUCCUCAUUUGUCCAUUACAGAUUAUACCACAAGCUUUUCAAAGAAGCAUGGGUUGCAAUCGUAUGUAGAGAACAAGAUUGAUGAUUCUCAUGAGAAUCUGGAUAACUGCAAUGAAGAAGAAUGUUCACCAGAAUGUUAUGUUUUCGACUGUGGCAACGUGUCUGAGGACACUGUUGUAAUCGAGUGUGCUCCCGUUUCUGAUGUAAACGGCUCAGGUACAUCUGGAAAACCAGCUGAGGGGGCGACGUUAGAGGAAGACUGGAUGGAGAUCUUUGAAGACCUCAAAAAGAAGAUGAGGGAGGAUCUUGUGUGUUUCAGGCCUAAAGUAGCAUCCUUUGUUUCCAGCUUCAAGAAGAUUAAAACAGACAGUGAACUCAUAGCCGCUCUAUCAAACUUUGGCAAAACCAACCCUGGACCAACAGCAAAGUUUCGCCAGGGACACGCACGCCCCGCAAAGAGCUCCAUAGGAGAGUGUGGACAUGGCACAUGCUGCUGGAAGAGGAAGGCACCCAAUUGAAUGUCUGUGUGUGGAAUAGCACAUGGACAUUGGGAGUACUACACAAAAUAAGCAAGUCAACAUCAGUGGCCCCAUGUGCCCAUCAUCCAACUGCUCACCAUCUGUGACCUUCAGUGCACUAGCGCUCUGCCCUCAAACACCCCCCAUCUGCCUACCACCUUUAUGUCAACUCCGCCUUGUACAAAACCAGUGGCUAUUUCAAUGCAUUGUGGCCUCUACAACACUAGAAUCAGUGGCUAUUUCAGUAUUGCAUUCUUGCCUUUUGGUUUUACGUUCAUUCAAUGCAAGACGUUUCUGCAAUUUCAUAUGUUUUGGAAAUUGAUUCCAUGUUUAUGGACCAUCAGACUUUAAAAAGCUGUUCUUCCAACCCAGUUGUAGAUCUACAGGCCUAUACUAUCACUGAACCAAAACAGUAGUUGUCAUGACUUUGCCGAGUCUUAAAUAUAAAAUGCUUAUUUAUAUUUUUUUAUAUACUGGUGUACGCUACCAUUAAAAAGUUUGGGGUCAUUUAGAAAUGUCCUUGUUUUUGAAAGAAAAGCCCCAUUAAAAUAACAUCAAAUUGAUCAGAAAUGCAGUGUAGACAUUGUUUAUGUUAUAAAUGACUUUUUAUUGUUGUUUUUUUAAUAGAAUAUCUACAUAGGCGUACAGGCCCAUUAUCAGCAACCAUCACUCCUGUGUUCCAAUGGCAUGUUGUUUUAGCUAAUCCAAGUUUAUCAUUUUAAAAGGUUCAUUGAUUAUUGCGUCAUCCGAAACAUGACCCGCCAGACCGCACUUCUUAACACCCACCUGCCAGCCACACCAAUGUAUCGGAGGAAACACUGUUCAACUCACUGUUCAACUACCGGGUCAGCCUGCAAGCACCAGGCCUGCCACAAGGAAUCGCUAGAGUGCAAUGAGCUUAGUAAAGCCCCCCCCCCGGCCAAACCCUCCCCUAAUAUGAUCACGGCCGGGUUGUGAUACAGCCUGGGAUCAAACCCGGGUCUGUAGUGACGCCUCUAGCACGGCAAUGCAGUGCCUUAGACUGCGGUGCAACUCGGGAGGCCUUAUAUAUAUAUUAUAUAUGUAUGUGUGUGUGUAUGGUAUGUGGACAUUAGGACUUGGUUAGUAAAUGUAAAAAUGUAGCAUUACAGUAAAUGUGUACAGAAAAUAAGUUGGC
This is a long non-coding RNA of Oncorhynchus tshawytscha (Chinook salmon), 2635 nucleotides long. NCBI's taxonomy places the organism in Eukaryota, Metazoa, Chordata, Actinopteri, Salmoniformes, Salmonidae. The record is from Ensembl.